RNAcentral lists this ribosomal RNA (393 nucleotides) under uncultured bacterium. RNAcentral describes it as "partial 16S ribosomal RNA". It matches the Rfam family "Bacterial small subunit ribosomal RNA", at positions 523 to 918 of the family's 1533-position model. The record is from RNAcentral.
AUACGGAGGAUCCGAGCGUUAUCCGGAUUUAUUGGGUUUAAAGGGUGCGCAGGCGGGAGAUUAAGUCGGCGGUGAAAUUUUGCAGCUCAACUGUAAAAGUGCCUUCGAAACUGGUUUCCUUGAGUGUAGAUGAAGUAGGCGGAAUUUGUGGUGUAGCGGUGAAAUGCAUAGAUAUCACGAGGAACUCCGAUUGCGCAGGCAGCUUACUAAACUACUACUGACGCACAGGCACGAAGGCGUGGGGAUCAAACAGGAUUAGAUACCCUGGUAGUCCACGCAGUAAACGAUGAUUACUAGCUGUUUGCGAUACAAUGUAAGCGGCUGAGCGAAAGCGUUAAGUAAUCCACCUGGGGAGUACGUUCGCAAGAAUGAAACUCAAAGGAAUUGACGGGG